This 499-nucleotide ribosomal RNA is filed under the name uncultured bacterium. RNAcentral's name for it is "partial 16S ribosomal RNA". It matches the Rfam family "Bacterial small subunit ribosomal RNA", at positions 899 to 1397 of the family's 1533-position model. The record is from RNAcentral.
ACUCAAAGGAAUUGACGGGGGCCCGCACAAGCGGCGGAGCAUGCGGAUUAAUUCGAUGCAACGCGAAGAACCUUACCAAGGCUUGACAUGAACUAGUAAAGCGCAGAAAUGUGUUCCCCUCUUGAGGCUGGUUUACAGGUGGUGCAUGGUUGUCGUCAGCUCGUGUCGUGAGAUGUUGGGUUAAGUCCCGCAACGAGCGCAACCCUCGUUCUAUGUUGCCAGCGCGUUAUGGCGGGGACUCAUAGGAGACUGCCGGGGUCAACUCGGAGGAAGGUGGGGACGACGUCAAAUCAUCAUGCCCCUUAUGUCUUGGGCUUCACGCAUGCUACAAUGGCCGGUACAAAGGGUUGCGAUACUGUGAGGUGGAGCUAAUCCCAAAAAGCCGGUCUCAGUUCGGAUUGGGGUCUGCAACUCGACCCCAUGAAGUCGGAGUCGCUAGUAAUCGCAGAUCAGCAACGCUGCGGUGAAUACGUUCCCGGGCCUUGUACACACCGCCCGU